Molecule: ribosomal RNA, 1243 nt
Filed under: human gut metagenome
Description: bacterial LSU rRNA
Rfam family: Bacterial large subunit ribosomal RNA
Source: RNAcentral
ACUCUGGCCAAGGAACUCGGCAAAAUAACCCCGUAACUUCGGAAGAAGGGGUGCUCUCUAGGGUGACAUGUUUAACAUAUGAAGCCCCGGGGAGCCGCAGUGAAUUGGUGGUGGCGACUGUUUACUAAAAACAUAGGUCUGUGCGAAGUCCUAAAGACGACGUAUACGGACUGACGCCUGCCCGGUGCUGGAAGGUUAAAAGGAGGGGUCAGCGCAAGCAAAGCUCCGAAUUGAAGCCCCAGUAAACGGCGGCCGUAACUAUAACGGUCCUAAGGUAGCGAAAUUCCUUGUCGGGUAAGUUCCGACCUGCACGAAUGGCGUAACGAUCUCCACACUGUCUCGGCCAGAGACUCGGUGAAAUUGCAGUCGCGGUGAAAAUUCCGUGUACCCGCAGAAAGACGGAAAGACCCUGUGCACCUUUACUAUAGCUUGACAUUGGAUUUUGGGCCUGCAUGUGUAGGAUAGGUGGGAGGCUGUGAACCCUGUACGCCAGUAUGGGGGGAGCCAUCCUUGAAAUACCACCCUUGCAUGUUUAAGAUCCUAACUUCUUCCGGUUAUCCCGGAGAAAGACAGUGUCUGGCGGGUAGUUUGACUGGGGCGGUCGCCUCCUAAAGUGUAACGGAGGCAUGCAAAGGUUCCCUCAGCCUGAUCGGAAACCAGGCGCUGAGUGCAAACGCAUAAGGGAGCUUGACUGUAAGAGAGACAUCUCGAACAGGAACGAAAGUUGGCGUUAGUGAUCCGGUGGUCCCGAAUGGAAGGGCCAUCGCUCAUUGGAUAAAAGGUACGCCGGGGAUAACAGGCUGAUCGCAUCCAAGAGUUCACAUCGACGAUGCGGUUUGGCACCUCGAUGUCGGCUCAUCACAUCCUGGGGCUGAAGCAGGUCCCAAGGGUACGGCUGUUCGCCGUUUAAAGUGGUACGCGAGCUGGGUUUAAAACGUCGUGAGACAGUUUGGUCCCUAUCUUCUGUGGGCGAAGGAGAAUUGAGAGGGCCUGUCCCUAGUACGAGAGGACCGGGAUGGACGCACCCCUGGUGAUCCUGUUGUCGCGCCAGCGGCAUAGCAGGGUAGCUAUGUGCGGAAGGGAUAACCGCUGAAAGCAUCUAAGCGGGAAGCCUGCCUCAAGAUAAGUUCUCCCCUCGAAAGAGCUGAAGGGCCCGGGUAGACUACCCGGUCGAUAGGCUGGAGGUGUAAGCGCGGCGACGUGCUCAGCUGACCAGUACUAAUAGCCCGAGCGGCUUAUUUUU